GCAUUGCUUUAUCUACAUGAGUCGGGAAGACUGGAGAUAAGAGUGGGAUAGACAUGCAGCCUUGUUUCUGUCGAGCACCAGAAGCCUGCAUCAGGUCCGCUGGACAUCUCCCUUUGGAUGUCUCGUCGAGAGAUUAUUAGUACAACAGGAGACGAGGGGCUAAAGGUAAGGCAGACCCUAUGUAUUUUUCUCCUCGUCUCUGCUUCUCAGACUUGUCCUUUUGGAGAGCAGUGAUAAAGCAGAUGGAUUUAGUUUUUAUGUCAGUCAUCAUCAGCUGGGUGGAAGUUUUUGUGUGAAAGAAAAGGCUAGCAUUAAAUUGAUUGAUGGUUCAUUUUUCCUAUUUGCUCCUUGGUCAUUGGAGUGACACCAGGAGGGCUGUCUCGUUAGAGGAGUGUGAGACAAUGGCUCUGACACACACAGAAUUCAUCGCUUGUAAUUGAUCCCUGGAAAUAGCAUAGUCACACAUCGUCCCCAAUAAAUUUGCCUGCUGAACUACUUGGGACAAUCUACCCUGCACUUUUUUCAAAGGCUAUAAGAAAUUAACAGCAUGUAAUCUCACAAGGAAUAUUUGUCGUCGAAUUUCUCCAACAAAUGGGAGAUGACAAAUAUUUCACAUGUGGAUUAAUAAUUUCACCUUUGAGUUUUCUUCAUUUCCGGUCACAACCAGGCCAUACAAGAUGUACAAAUGUGUGAUUUCAGGCACAGCUGUGGUUGUACAAGGCACAGGUGUUGUGUCCUAGCAGACUUUAGCCUUAGAUCCUAUUGUUGUUAUCACUCCCCUUAUCAAAACAUCCAGGGUUUUUGCCCUAGCAGGUGAUGAUCCAAGAAGGAAGGAAGAAAUAAUUCUCCAACUGGACCCACUAUUGUCCACCAGGGUUUACUUUCCCCUGGGGACUUGCUCAUAGAAAAUUCCUCUGCCACCAGCCUGCCCCCAGAAAUGGCUGCAGCCCCUUGAGUGCUCCAACAUAAGUGGGGACAAAAUCUUCUGUCUCUGGCUGUCCUUAGCACAGAUAAGCCUGGCUGGACCUGUCAGAGAAAAUUGAAGAACAAAAGGAGCACACAGGAGGGAUAAACACAAAGAAGGCAAGAACGAUAAAAUGCUCUGCUUAGAAAGUGCAAAUUUCUGAACCUGCCUGAGCCACCGAGCUCUGAAGGCUCAAGGGCCCUUCUCUUUCUAUAAUUUUCUCCUGAGGAUGAUGCUAUGCUUAACCUGAAAAGAGAGCAGGGCGCCUGACUUCCUGGCUUCUCAGCAAUGGUGUCACUAGUUAUAGAUGCCUCUCCGCAGAAAGUCUGAGUUCUCCUUUUGUUCUUCUCAUGCAGACAGUAUCAAAGCAGCUCACCCUUCUUCCAGCAGGAAACGUGAAUGUGUGAAAAGAGCGACCAUUUGUUAGACUCUGUUUCUGGCCCAGCAUCAUGAUGUUUCUUAGGGUAAGGGGCAGGGGAGGAUGGAGAGGCAAUAGUGAAGAAACUGUUUUGUGAUUCAGAGGAAAGAGCAAGGUGACAAAAAAAAAAAAGGACCAUGAUUUAAUUUUAAUUAAAAUUAAAUAGGCAUACAUGACUGGUGGUUAAUGUUUUAGUGAAGCUCAAGAGACUAAGCGUGGCAGGGGCCCAGCAGAAAGUAGGUCCAGCAUCUCUGCCGCAAAGGCAAAGUCAUCCCCCGUCCUGCCCUGCCCCGCUCCACCCCGCCUGCUGGUCAAGGCCCCUCUGUCUCCCUCCUCCUGAAAGAGCACUGGACUAGAGUGUAGGUCAAGAGUGGCAAUGAUUUGGCUGUUGGCUAGUGGCAUCCUGCCCUAGCCUGGCUGUUUGUGCCCACAACCACCCACCAGCCUGAAGGAUCAGGUUGCUGCUUUGAUUUAGCCUCUCUAUUGCCACUCAGCCCGCACCUUUGCUGUCUCACCCUCCUGUACAGUGAGGCCUUUCCCUGUCCAUUUGAUUCCUAUUAGAGAACCAGGCAUUUCCCCGGUGACGGUGGAAAUAAGGUAUUCCAGGUGCAUGCUGUAAGGAAGGCGCAUGCGCGCAUAUGUAUGCACACACGCAUGCGCCGUCUAGACCAAGGCGGGCACCUGUUCCAUCCCAGGGAGUAGAGGCGGCCACAUUCCCAAGGGGUUCUGUUACAGGCGGCCACAGGCUCCAAAGCCCAGAGCUGAUUCUGCUCUGGCUCCACUUCUUUCCUCUGCUGUCUGCUUAGUAAAGGAGCAAAGGCCAGGCCCAAGGCCCGCAGGUCACUAUAGAGUAUGGUGACCCCUAAGAAAACAAGAUCAACCGUCUUCAGGGCCCAUCCCCAACCUGCAAGGGGUCCCUGAGUUUACUAGUUAUUUGGGAUCACAAAGAUCCCAAGCAAUUUGCACAGUCUUCCUUGCUGCCACUCCUCUCCUAACCAGAAGCAACCAGGGAGCGAGACGCCACUUCACAUGGGACAAAGGUGGAUGUGAGAUGUGCAAGACCAGACCCUGAGGAAGGGCCACGGUGACCCAAGGGCUGGGCCCUUCAGCCUAAACUUACCUCUAGACUGAAAGGUGAUAGGUCCCAGGCGGAGCCCAGAGGGAGGGGGUGGGCAGCUGAGAUGGAGGCCAGGCUGGAAGGACUGGAGGGGAGCCAACACUGGUGUGUCUGCACACAGGAGCUGGGAGAGUCUCCCUAGAGCCUCAGGGCUCUUCCAGCAAAAGGUAAAGUUUGAAACCCCCCCAACACACACACUCAGAGGAGUCCAGCCCUCCUGCAGCGCUCUUACACCCCAUCCCUGCAACCUGCAACUUGGCCUCCACCCCUUCCCCACACUCUGCCCCUACUAUCCGACAGAGUUUUGAGCCAGGGCCGUAGGGGCCCUGAAGGGAGGCCGGUCUUCUCUUUCACCUUGGUUCCUGGGACGCGCUGCGUCAUCAUGGCAGAGGCCAAGAGCUAGAUCCCGUGCCCGGGAUGCAGACUGAGCAGAAAGGGUGGAGGAGGCCGAGCAUGGAGUUGUGGACCAUCUCUCACCCUGCCCAGAGCCCCCAGCGCCCCAGUUCUUGCCAUGUGCCCUCUUGUGGGUGCUGAUGGGGCGUGGUGAGAGAUGCAGUGCACAGCCACAGCCUCCUCUCACCAGACCCUGGGACUCACCCUCUGCCCCCGACUCUCAGACAUCUGUUGAAUCCUGACUUCAAGCCUCACAUGGUGAAGCUCCUCCCUGCGGAAAUAAAGGGUUCAAGAAGGAUCUGGAAGGAGACAGAAACUCAGCUCAGCUGGCACAUCAAGGUCAGGGGCCUCACCUCUCCUAAUUUUAAAGAGAAAGAUCUGUAAGCAGAGGAGAGAAGCCAGCCGAGUGACCCCUGAGUGGAAAUCAGGGCAGAAAUCUUUUGCAACAGAAUCCCCAUGGGAAACAUGACAAAAUUAGCAACAGGAAUGAGGUCUCCCUCGGAGGAUACAAGAAUCACUGGGUUGAAAAUAACCACAAGGUCAUCUAGUUCAGCUGCCACCACUUGCCUGAAUUUUUCCAGAAAUUUUUGGACAAGCAGUCAUCCAGCCUCAUCCAGCAGCUCAGUACUCAGCAGCCCCCUCCUGAUGGUGGGCAAGGUUUUAAAGGCCCCUGGGGCUCUCGUGCUUCCAGGGGCAGCUCGCAGAGGGCAGCGGGCAGCAGGCAGCACACAGGGGCCCGGGUCCAGCGCUUCCCUCCCUCCGGCUGCUGUGUUUAUACUCCAUUGAUUCACAGCAAAGACUCUUGGCGAGAUCAAGAUUUCUUUACACCGCUUGGGUGGCUGCUUUAGUGAACCAGCCUUAAAACAUGCCCCCGAGGAGGUCAGUUUUUGGUUAUCGUUGGCUUUAAUUCCUGGAAAAGUUCUGGAAAUCACGAUUUCAGAACCAGAAAGAGCUUCGGCAUCUCAUCCAGCCACCUCACAUGACUCGUGAGAACCGAAGGGAGCCUGGAGCCUAGGGUGGAAUUCAGACCUUAUUCCCCACUGUUCCCCCCAGUGCCCUCUGAGCUGCAGUCCCAGUGGCUCUGGGACCCUCCAGAAGGUGCUCAGUGGCCUCUCUAGGGUCUCGUGUUACCUGAUCCACUGCAGCCCUGGCCCUGUGGACUCCUCCCCGGUUCUCAGCUCCUCCCUUGGUCUUUGCAGCCCCAUUCCCGGCUAGUAGGCUGGGGAAAGGGUGUGCAGUGUCCAUGCCUUUUCAGUGCCUCGCUUUCCCAUGUCUCCACCUGUGCACAAGCCUAGAAGCGCUCCAAACUCUCUCCUUUUGGAUUUUUUUAAUGGAGGCUUCAUUGUAUUGGCUGAUUAAAUCAUCAGCCGCUGGUGAUUGAAUGUAAUCUCCAGCCCUCCCAGGAGACUGGGGGUAUUCAGGGGGCUCGGGGCUCAAGUUCCAACCCACUCAUCACAUGGUUGGCUCCCCUGGAAACCAACCCCCACUCUUAGGUGCUUUCCAAACUCACCUCAUUAAUAUAAAUCCAGCUAUGGUGAAAGGGGGCUUGUUUUGAAUAACAAGACAUCCGUUUGAUCUCUAGAGCUCUGGAGAGAUUCAGGCACUGAGGCCAGGGAAUCAAAUAUUAUGACAAAAGUUGUUCCCACUACAUUUUUUGCUCAGGAAAUUCCAAAGGUUUUGGAAGCUGUGAUCCAGGAACCAUGGAACCAGUAUCUGUGAGGGAUAUAUUUUGGUCCUCUGAAUGACCAAAUAACUCUUAUUAUAAAUCACAAUAUCUGAGGCUGCCACAGUUUGUGCAGCCACUCCUUGACCACUGCCCCCUCCAACCAUUUCAGCCACUAAGUCUUACUCGCCUUAAAAAUAGUCGUGCUUGUUUGGGCAGCUUCUCUCCACGGAUUGAGUCUUUCACAGCUACAUUUUUUGAUCAGUAUCUACCCUUUGCUUCCACUUCAUCCCCUUCCCUCCAGCUGUCACCACAGUUUUUAUCUGUCUUACGCCCCAGCGCUCCCCUGGACCUGCUCUCACCAGCGGACUUCACCUUCCUAAUUCCAGUGUUUACUUUUAGUCCCUGCCUUGCUUGAUGGCCUCAUAAUGUUUGGCACAGCUGACUGUACCCUCCCUUGUAAAAUUCUCCUUUCGCUUGGGUUCCUCGACCCGAUGUUUUUCUCCUAAUUUCCAAGUAGGCUCUUUUGCCUACGUGACCCAGGCCUUGAAAUCCUGGAGUCACGUGGCACUCUGUCCCGGAGCUCCUUCCUGAGUCAGCCCACCUCUUUCCUCGUGAUCCCAUCCGCCCCGGUGACUUGGCUCGCCAUCUGUCUGUAAACGAAUGGCCCUUUAAUCUGUGGCACCUGCUCAGACUUGCUCCUGAGCCAGAAUGUCACCACGGGAUGUUGCAUAUGUAUAGCUCUCUGAGCCUCGAUGUGUCAGAAGCUGACUCAGAACCUUCUCCCUGGUCUCACCGUCACCACCCAUCACUCUGCAUCCCAGGAAACAGCUUACACUUGCUAUUCAAGGCAGACCCUGAGGGCCUUGAACCCCUUUCCCUUCUUAACCACCCCACUCCUCUUCUAAUAGGCUCUAAGGUCAUGUCCUUCUCUCUAAUGCAGCUGUCCCAGGCUCUGACCAUCACUUCUUAUUUGCAUGUAGCAGACACCUCUAACCACACCUCCCUGUGUCCACUCUUGACUUCUUCCAAUCCACUCUCAUGUUGCAGCCAGAGAGGAUGUUACAAGGCGCACAUGGGAUUAUGUCACCUGACUGUUUCAAAGCCUUCAAUGGUCCCCAUGUUUAGGAUGGCACCCCAAACCUCAACAUGGCUGGAUUUCUGUCUCACAAUGCUUUUUCUCAAACACAGCUCUCCAGCUUAAUUCAACAUUUUCAUUUCUUCCAAUGCCUCCACUCUUUUUCAUGUCUAAUUAGUUAGCAUUCCCUGCCCAUUAGAUUUAAAUUUAAAGACCCAUGACGUUAUGAAUCUGUUUUAUUCACCACUAUACAUAUAUAGCAAUUAGCACAAUGUCUGACAAAUAUUUGGAAACUACAUGAUUUAUUUAUUCAGAAAAUAGUUUUUAAAUGCCUGGUCUGUGUCAAGCUCCAUUCUUGAUUCUUGGUGAUGUGGAAAUAUUUUUUUUAAAAGAGAGACAAAACCCUUUGCCCUUAAGGAGUUAUAUUCUACUAGAGAGAGAGAAACACAAUGAGAAGAAUAGGUGGUAUAUCUGAUGGUGAUAACUGCCAAAGAAAAAAAUUAAGUAGGGAAGGAGGGGGGAUAAAGAAAGAAAGGAGGCAGACAGAAGGAGAGAUGGAGAGACAGAGGGAAGGAGAGAUGGAGAGACAGAGGGAAGCAAGCAGAUAUUUGGGGGAAGAACAUCCAACAAGGAGAGUGGCAAGUUCAAAGGUCCUGGAUGGAUAUAUGCCUUCAGAGUUCAUGACCAGAAAGAAGGUCAGUAUGACUAGAGAGAAUGAGGCAGGGAGAGCAGUGGAAGAUCAGUGCGGAGACUCGAAGGGCUCCCUGAUGCAGGGCUGGUGGUCCUGAGGGAGCUGUCGCCGUGUGUGCAACGCAGAGCUGCUGGAGCGCUCUGGGUAGAGGGUUGCUGUGGCAGGACGAGGAUUUCAGCGGUCUCACUCAGCAUGCCAGCAUGCUCUGUUGGAAACAGACUGAACAGGAGUAAGGAUGGGAGCAAAAGUGCCUGGUAGGAGGCUGCUGCCGCCACCCAGGUGAUCCAUAAUGGCAGCUGCAACCAGGGUGGUAGCAGAGAGGUUGAAUCCUUUACACAUUUUGAAGGUAGAGGUGACAGGGUUUCCUGAUGAUCGGAAUGUAGCAUUUACGAGAAAGAGGAAUCGAGAACGAUUCCAACGGUAACCCUAAGUUUGGUUUCGGAAUCUUGGAAUCUGUUUCUGUUUUGUAAGUUCUGUGGUAUCAAAUGCCACGGGUUAGUGAUGUCAUGUUACUUGUUUUUCCAAGUGGGAAAUGAGGGGAGAGAAAUAAUUUGGGAGGUUGGGACUAACAUGUACACACUGUGAUAUAUAAAAUUGAUAAGUAACAAGGACCUACUUCCCAGCACAGGUAAAUCUACUCAAUGAUGUACAGGGUAAAAGAGACUGAAAAGGAAUGAUUCUAUGUAAGUGUGUGUGUGUGUGUGUGUGUGUGUGUGUGUGUGUGUGAGAUUCACUUUGCUGUGCACCUGAAACUAACACAACAUUGUAAGUCAAUUACACUCCAAUAAAAAUUUUUAAAUGAAAAAAAAAA
RNAcentral lists this long non-coding RNA (7135 nucleotides) under Sus scrofa (pig). Its description in RNAcentral is "lncRNA (ENSSSCG00050022906.1)". The record is from RNAcentral. Lineage: Eukaryota; Metazoa; Chordata; Mammalia; Artiodactyla; Suidae.